RNAcentral lists this long non-coding RNA (1972 nucleotides) under Xyrichtys novacula (pearly razorfish). The record is from RNAcentral. Lineage: Eukaryota; Metazoa; Chordata; Actinopteri; Labriformes; Labridae.
AACAUACUUUACUGUAACAUUUUUAUAUCAUACUAUUCUACGGUAUUUUUAUAUCAUACUAUACCACAACAUUUUUAUCAGACUAUACUAGGACUUUUUUUUUUAUCAUACUAUGACUAUGACUUUUUUAUGUCUCACUAUACUAUGACAUUUGUACACAGUUAAUUUAAAAAAGUUCAGAUUUGUUCAGGAAGGAGGGUGGGAGCCGCCUCACCUCUAAUAUAGUAGUUCCUCGUGGCGUUCUCCAGACCUUUGACAACAAAGGAGUCAAAUCCUUUUGGAAACCGAGACCUUUACUUGUCUCUGUGGCUCAGAAGGCAAAAAGACUUAUUUAGACUCCUGAUGUUAAAGGUGCUUGUGAAUUUUAAAGUCCAGUGUCUAAAAAACAGAAGAGAGUGAAAACCUUUCACAAACUGGAGCCUCCUAUGUGUCCACAUGGCUCAAAGGGAAAGAAGACUGACCGGGACUCCUGAGGUGGUGGGUUCAAAUCCUUAUCUUAUCCAGGUUGGAUUCAAAUAUAAAGUCUCAUAUCUAGAAAGGAGAGUGUAAUACAAAAAACCCGGGAUUUUUCAGUGUGUCUCCAUGGCUCAGAGGAUAAGAAGACUGACUGGGACUCUUGAGGUCGUGGGUUCAACACCUACCUUAUUCAGGUCUAGGUGAAAUUUAAAGUCCAGUCUCUUGAAAGGAGAGUGAAAUACAAAAAACCGGGCAUCCAUCCUGUGUGUCUCCAUGGCUCAGAGGGUAAGAAGACUGACUGGGACUCUUGAGGUCGUGGGUUCAACACCUACCUUAUUCAGGUCUAUGUGAAUUUUAAAGUCUAGUCUCUUGAAAGGAGAGUGAAAUAGGAAAAACCUGGAUCCAUCCUGUGUGUCUCCAUGGCUCAGAGGGUAAGAAGACUGACUGGGAGUCUUGAGGUCGUGGGUUCAACACCUACCUUAUUCAGGUCUAUGUGAAUUUUAAAGUCCAGUCUUUUGAAAGGAGAGUGAAAUACAAAAAACCUGGAUUUAUCCUGUGUGUCUCCAUGGCUCAGAGGGUAAGAAGACUGACUGGGACUCUUGAGGUCGUGGGUUCAACACCUACCUUAUUCAGGUCUAGGUGAAAUUUAAAGUCCAGUCUCUUGAAAGGAGAGUGAAAUACAAAAAACCUGGAUGUAUCCUGUGUGUCUCCAUGGCUCAGAGGGUAAGAAGACUGACUGGGAGUCUUGAGGUCGUGGGUUCAACACCUACCUUAUUCAGGUCGAGGUAAAAUUUAAAGUCCAGUCUCUUGAAAGGAGAGUGAAAUACAAAAAACCUGGAUGUAUCCUGUGUGUCUCCAUGGCUCAGAGGGUAAGAAGACUGACUGGGACUCUUGAGGUCGUGGGUUCAACACCUACCUUAUUUAGGUAGAUGUGAAUUUUAAAGUCUAGUGUCUAGAAAGGAAAGUGAAAUAGGAAAAACCUGGAUUUAUCCUGCGUGUCCACAUAGCUCAGAGGGUAAGAACACUGACUGCAACUCUUGAGGUUGUGGGUUCGAUCCCCGCCUUGUCCAGCUUUUAAAGUCCAGUGUCUAGAAAGGAGAGUUAAAUAGGAAAAACCCGGAUUCACCCUGUGUGUCCACAUGGCUCAGAGGAUAAGAAGACUGACUGAGACUCCGGAGGUUGUGGGUUCGAGCCUUGCCUUGUCUCUGUGAAUUUUAAAGUCUGUUGUCCAGAAAGAAGAGUUAAAUAGGAAAAACCCGGAUUUGCCCUGUGUGUCCACAUGGCUCAGAGGGUAAGAAGAAUGACUGAGACUCUUGAGGUCAUGGGUUCGAAUCUCAACCACAUCUAUUUGAAUUUUUUAAGUCCUUUAGCCAAAGUAAGAUGAUAAAAGCGGGCAUUCCGCAUGCCCUAGUGUGGAUCCUAUCUAAUGGCACUGCAUGGAAGUCUAUUGGCACCCAAUGGGGCCUGGUUUGAUACCAACUCGUGGCUGGAGAGUAUUAGUAACGAUCAGAAUUAG